AGUGAACGCUGGCGGUAGGCCUAACACAUGCAAGUCGAACGGCAGCACAGUAAGAGCUUGCUCUUACGGGUGGCGAGUGGCGGACGGGUGAGGAAUACAUCGGAAUCUAUUUUUUCGUGGGGGAUAACGUAGGGAAACUUACGCUAAUACCGCAUACGACCUACGGGUGAAAGCAGGGGAUCUUCGGACCUUGCGCGAUUGAAUGAGCCGAUGUCGGAUUAGCUAGUUGGCGGGGUAAAGGCCCACCAAGGCGACGAUCCGUAGCUUGUCUGAGAGGAUGAUCAGCCACACUGGAACUGAGACACGGUCCAGACUCCUACGGGAGGCAGCAGUGGGGAAUAUUGGACAAUGGGCGCAAGCCUGAUCCAGCCAUACCGCGUGGGUGAAGAAGGCCUUCGGGUUGUAAAGCCCUUUUGUUGGGAAAGAAAAGCAGCAGGUUAAUACCCCGCUGUUCUGACGGUACCCAAAGAAUAAGCACCGGCUAACUUCGUG
RNAcentral lists this ribosomal RNA (492 nucleotides) under uncultured bacterium. Its description in RNAcentral is "partial 16S ribosomal RNA". It matches the Rfam family "Bacterial small subunit ribosomal RNA", at positions 29 to 507 of the family's 1533-position model. The record is from RNAcentral.